GCCAAGUGGCUAACGGCCUUUGGGAAGAGGUGACCCGCCCGGUAUGGCCUUCAGGAGCAGAAAAUCCGCAUCCCGCGCGCGGAAGCCGAGUCCACCGAGCCCGGCACUGCUGGGGCUCUGUGUUCUGCUCCGUGAUCCGCUCGCCGCCAUCUCAGGCUUGCCGCAGCUUCACGUUUCCCAAGGCCUUCUGGGAAUAGUUGCAAGGAAGUAGUUGCUUCCGUAUGGUCUGGGUCUUUCUCGGUCGGUUUGAAAAAGACUGUGUUUUCCUGGGGAGAAGAACGGUUCAUCUGUGCAGAUUUGUCUUUUCCUUUCUGAUAGAAAAAAGAAAAAAAUUUUAAGGUUUUGGGAAGGAAAAAGACCGCCGACUUUAAUUGGAUAUGACUCUAAAAUAUAAGAAACAACGUACCAGAGUCAGGAUGGAGAGCUUUCAAAGAAAAUUGAAUGAGUGUGGGAAUAUCUCAGACUUGUGGCGUAGCCUCAGACCAGCAUCCGCGAGUGCUCUGCGGUAAAAUGGAGCAACGAUCAGCCUUUGGGUUAUAUUUGACCGUUACCUUGGUGCUGCCACUUCCCAAGCCAUUUACAACUCGUGUAAAUUUUUUUGAACGUUUAUCAUAAAAGCGUUGGAUUUAAGAUUUGAAUUCAAAAUGAAAACGGGGUGCGCAGUGCGGGAUAAGAGGGCCAGAGUCCCUGGGGCCGCUCUCAGUCUAAGCGCCUCACUCUCCCGGUCUGUCCUUUUCUUGAACGUCUGGCCCCUGGGUCUGCGUGUGCCCACCACGAGCCUCCUCGUGUUUCUCUCCUCGACCCUUGCACUGUCCCUCAGACUCCCAGCAUAUUUUUACUCUUUCUCUUGUUUAAAAUUAUGGGGUUACUUUGAAAAUGACAUAUACGAUAUCUUUAAAAUAAUGACAUAAGUAAUGCCUCAAGCCAGGGACAUAGUGGGUGCUCAAUAAAUCUAGGAAGGCAAGGCCUUCCUCUGCUUUGGUCAGUGCUGCAUCCUUCCUGUCAAGUAUUGUGACUGGCUCAAAUCCAGUGCUAAAAAAUUUUUUUUUAAGUAAUAAAGAGUAUCCACUACUCCAUGGCAUAUUAAAUAAUAUACUUACAGAUUUUAAGUACAAGAAGUACUUGACAGGUCAUUGCUAACUCUGAAGAUGAAUGGGGCCACUGGCCAAGGAACGUGGACAUUCACUAGAAACCAAGAAUGACUGCUAGCUGAUAGCCUUCAAGGAAUGGGAAAUUCCUAGAGAUUUAUCAGUGCCCACUGUUCAUAACCUGUUUCUAUUUGUCAGAGUCCUGAUGUUGUUUUGCCUGAUACUAGACAACAGCAGCAGAAUUUAGUGAGUCAUAAUGUCAGUUAUUUUUCUAAAUGUUAAUUUGGUUGCACUUUGAAUCUAACAUCUUCUAGGCAACUGGCUUUCAACUGAGGGUUUACAUUGCUUACCUGUGAAGCUUUAUUAUUAUAUAAGUGUGUAGGACCUACUCCAGACUUACUGAAUCUCUCUGCUUGAUAUUGUUGAUAUAUUGUUAUAUAUUCUUAUUACAUGGUUUGGAUAUUCAUGGCAUAUUGUGUCUCAGAAUUAUUAUAUGUUAUGUAUCAAGAUUUUUUUCUCUGUGAAGAUUAUGUUCGUUCACAUUUAUAAUUAGAUGCACAGUUUUCUGUCUUCUUUGAAAAUGCAGUUGAUUGUUAUGUCUUUAGAGAUUUUUGUCUAAAAUUCAUUUUGGAAUGGCUCUGUUAUUCCUUGUCAUUCUUGUUCCAGAAUUCCUUGUUAGUGGCAUUAGUCUUGUUAUAAACUCUCAUCAGAUCUUUCACUUCAAAAAGCCUAGUUAGUAAAAUUUGUUAUUUAGAUUCCAGGCUGAUAGGAUCUAAAGUUGUCUCUGGGGAUUAAUCUCUGCUCUGCCCUUCCUGGUAAAGAGUGGAGGGGGAGCACCUUUGUAAAUGUAUUAUGUCCUUUGUGUGUCCUGCUUUAUAGGCAGAUAGGGAAAGGGCAAUGAGCUUUUCUUGUAUCUGCUUCUUCUCAUUUAUCUUCAGCUCACAAUAAUCCUUAUGCCAAAGUGGCAUUUUUCGGUGGCAUAAUCUGCUACCCUUUAUGACUACCUUUUUUGCUCACAUUCCUUGGGAAAUAGAUGGGGAAGAACUACUCUAGAGAAACUGAGGAAAAUGAAACCAGGUUUCCAUGAAGUAUAAACAGGAUUUCAGGCAUAAUGCAGGACUAUUUCUACUAAAGUGAAAAGACAAUGACUCUUGUGGAACUCCAAUCAUAAUCUUUGAAAUUUCUUUAGAUAAAAGGGAAAAGCCCACUCUGUAGGCCAGUUCUACAUAGUGUACACUUUAGGUGUAAAAUACAAUGUCACUUAAGAUUCAAAAAAGUGAUAAUCUACUUGUGAUUUAUUUUCUCAAAAUGUCAUUGAGCUCCCGUUUUCCCUCUUGCCCUCAGUAGGUUCUACUGAUGCACAAACAAAUACGGUUCUUCAGGCUGUACAAAACCAAAAUGAUGAGAGUCUAAAAUUGACAUUGCUGUCUUACUUGUUCUCAAAAAUAAAAAUGUCUGA
This is a long non-coding RNA of Hippopotamus amphibius kiboko, 2547 nucleotides long. RefSeq lists it as uncharacterized. The record is from RefSeq and is a predicted model, not a curated record. The transcript has 3 exons. NCBI's taxonomy places the organism in Eukaryota, Metazoa, Chordata, Mammalia, Artiodactyla, Hippopotamidae.